RNAcentral lists this transfer RNA (71 nucleotides) under Camelus bactrianus (Bactrian camel). It matches the Rfam family "tRNA". From Rfam's summary of the family: Transfer RNA (tRNA) molecules are approximately 80 nucleotides in length. Their secondary structure includes four short double-helical elements and three loops (D, anti-codon, and T loops). Further hydrogen bonds mediate the characteristic L-shaped molecular structure. tRNAs have two regions of fundamental functional importance: the anti-codon, which is responsible for specific mRNA codon recognition, and the 3' end, to which the tRNAs corresponding amino acid is attached (by aminoacyl-tRNA synthetases). tRNAs cope with the degeneracy of the genetic code in two manners: having more than one tRNA (with a specific anti-codon) for a particular amino acid; and 'wobble' base-pairing, i.e. permitting non-standard base-pairing at the 3rd anti-codon position. The record is from Rfam by way of RNAcentral. Lineage: Eukaryota; Metazoa; Chordata; Mammalia; Artiodactyla; Camelidae. RNAcentral also lists the same sequence under 1 other name.
GAGGAUAUAACUCAGUGGUAGAGUGCAUGCUUAGCAUGUGUGAGGUUUUGGGUUCAUUCCCCUGUACCUCU